Alosa sapidissima (American shad) is the source of this 135-nucleotide long non-coding RNA. RefSeq lists it as uncharacterized. The record is from RefSeq and is a predicted model, not a curated record. NCBI's taxonomy places the organism in Eukaryota, Metazoa, Chordata, Actinopteri, Clupeiformes, Clupeidae. The transcript is spliced from 2 exons.
GUGUAAGUAAUAAGUCAAAGAACCACAUUCUGUGUAAUAUAGAGUCACGGGUCCAGGGAUGGACCAGUGAAGUUGCUUCUUCUCCACCCUUCUCUUUUCACAAAACUCACUGGGGGAGGGGGGGGGGGGGGCCUU